GUCCCUGUAGCGCAAUGAAUAGUGCGUUGACCUUCUAAUCCAAUGUCGUGGGUUCGAAUCCCACCUGGGAUG
Molecule: non-coding RNA, 72 nt
Organism: Trichonephila inaurata madagascariensis
Lineage: Eukaryota; Metazoa; Arthropoda; Arachnida; Araneae; Nephilidae
Source: the annotation of a GenBank genome assembly